GAGAAACUCCAGUGGUGACCUCCCUGCCUUCAUGGAGAGGUCGCAGAAGUAAGAAAACCCCUUCAUGGCUAAUGAUCUCAAAGCACCUCUGGUGGAAAUACAUAACAAGUUCUCCAUGUUCCAGUCCUCGGAGGUAGAAUAGGCAUAAAAUACUUUCACUAAUAAAAUAUGACA
Talpa occidentalis (Iberian mole) is the source of this 174-nucleotide long non-coding RNA. RefSeq lists it as uncharacterized. The transcript is spliced from 3 exons. NCBI's taxonomy places the organism in Eukaryota, Metazoa, Chordata, Mammalia, Eulipotyphla, Talpidae. The record is from RefSeq and is a predicted model, not a curated record.